Molecule: unclassified non-coding RNA, 145 nt
Filed under: uncultured Capnodiales
Lineage: Eukaryota; Fungi; Ascomycota; Dothideomycetes; Capnodiales
Description: sequence contains ITS1
Source: RNAcentral
CCGAGUAAGCGCCUCCGGGCGCGACCUCCAACCCUUUGUGAACCAAACCUCUGUUGCCUCGGGGUGACCCGGCCCGGCCCGGCCCCCGGAGGACAAUUUGACAAAACUCUGCAUCUUUGCGUCGGAUAUCAAAAGAAAUUGAUUA